RNAcentral lists this ribosomal RNA (253 nucleotides) under uncultured bacterium. Its description in RNAcentral is "partial 16S ribosomal RNA". It matches the Rfam family "Bacterial small subunit ribosomal RNA", at positions 524 to 776 of the family's 1533-position model. The record is from RNAcentral.
UACGGAGGGCGCAAGCGUUGAUCGGAAUUACUGGGCGUAAAGCGCGCGUAGGCCGCUGAGUCAGUCGGAUGUGAAAUCCCCGGGCUUAACCUGGGAAUUGCAUUCGAUACUGCCUGACUAGAGUGCGGAAGAGGGAAGUGGAAUUUCCGGUGUAGCGGUGAAAUGCGUAGAUAUCGGGAGGAACACCAGUGGCGAAGGCGGCUUCCUGGUCGAACACUGACGCUGAGGCGCGAAAGCGUGGGGAGCGAACAGG